GUGAAAAUAGAAUCAUGUUUUGUUUUGUAUAAUAAUAAUGUCUAAUAGAAACUGUGGCCAUAGAAGAGCAUAGAAAACAUAUUCAAAGUCAUUUAGAGAAAAGAAAAUUAAAAGAAAGUUUUUCAAACUUGUAUAUAAAACUGAAUUGGCUGUAUGAAUUAAAUUUGAAUACAGUAAAUAAGUAGCAAUACAAAAUCAUGCCGAAUGUAGUACAUCAUUUACACUACAGUAGGGUACCUCUAGCCUAUUUUAGUCUUGUGUGGUUUAUUUUUCAUUCUGGUUCAUCUGUUUGUUUCAGAAUUAAGUGUAUGGCUCUAUUUUGCUGAACUAGUAUACAUUAUUGUUUAGGGGCCAGCUGAAGCCUGUCUCGGGUAGCAGGAUUUUCUUGAUGUGUUGAAGACCCAUUGGUGGUCUUGGUCCGUCUUCUGCCCUUUGGUGCGGUUGUUGUCUCUUUGACACAUUCCCCAUUUCCAUUCUCUAUUCCACGUUUUCAAAACUUAAAGGCAAAUAUAUUUUGCUUCAAAAUUUUAUUUUUCUUAUAAACAAAUCAUUACAAAUUCAUUGUUUUCAAAUGGUUUUUAACAAAUUCAUUGUUUUCAAAUGGUUUUUAACAAAUUUUUAAUAAUUUCACUUACCAAAAGGUACCUCUUUUCAAUUACAAAUGAUGUAUUUACUGAAAAACAUUACAAACCAGAAUCUUAUAUAUCCUUUGUCAUAAGGAAAAUUAUUAUUCUCUUGUUAGAUUUGAGACCUUUUUGUCAAGCCUUUGACUUUUGUCGAAAAAGCGAGACAUAGCGAUCCUACAAUCUGGCGGCGACAUCAGCUUCCACAAAUAUUCACUCUGUGGUUAAAGUUUUUAAAAUUUUAAUAACUUUCUUAAACUAUCCUGGAUAUGUACCAAACUUAGACAGAAGCUUAUUUAUGAUCAAAAGCUAGUAUCUUGAAGGAAAUUUUGUUAAUAUUUUGUACCUGUGUAUCUGUAUUUUACUUAUUGAUGGACUUAGUUUUUCUUUCAUUUAUCCUUACAUACAGUCUGCAGUUAAAGUUUUUAAAACAUUUAUUAGAUCCAUAAACUAUCCAGGAUUUUUACCAAACUUGGACAGAAGCUUCUUACAAUGAAAAGAAAGUAUCGAGAGGAAUAUUUUUUUUAUUUUUUUUAUAUUUUUGUUGAGGCUGUGAUUAACAGCAAAAAUAGGUGAGACACUAGGUUCCACGGAACCAAUUCUAAUUUUUUAUACAUAUGGUUUUCUCUUGGUAUGAAAUAUUUAUUAUUGAUUACAUUGGUUGUUUUGUAAGGUACUGUGGAAUCACUAUUUUUCUAGGGAUACCAAUUUUCUUUGAUUUCAUUGAUAUAGAGAAACCAUGAAUUUAAAUGGUCAACAAAGUAUGAUUGUCUUCUGGUUUAUGCACAAACCUUUGAGUAGCAACGAAAUUAUCUAUCUACGAAAAUAGAAUUAUUCCUCAGCCAUGAAAAUUGGUACCUAGAAAACAAAUUAACCCACAGUAUUUGUUGUUUUUAUUCUCAUUUGAAUUGUUGAUUAAGCUAUAUUUAGUCAAGUGGUUGUAUUUACAUUUUUAUAGUCUUUUGUUUGGGCAUCAACGUCAAUAUUGUGGGUUUACAUUGAACACAAUUUAGCAUUUAUUGAAUAUAUGUAAGGUUUCUUUUAUAAUGUGCUUAACCUCCCAAGAACUUUUUUUAUUGCUUUUUUUUUUUACAAUAUAUGGAUCAAAGAGUUGAAAAAAAAAUACAUAAUUUUCCAAAUUUUUGUUUACUACAUGUGCUAAAUGUUUAUAAUUUAAUAUGAUUGUUUUAAUCAAAUAUGUUGGUGCAAUGAAAGAUACAUGAAACAUACAUUUGGUUGGUGUUUAUCAUUUUAUAGAGUAUUAAAAAAUUAUAUCAGUUUAAUACGUUUGGAAAAGAUUUUGGAAUUAAAGUUUUCUUGUUACACAUGUUUAUUCAGUUGAAUAUUUUUCCACUUUUUCACCAACAUUUUCAUGCCCCACCUAGAAUAGUAGAGGGGCAUUAUGUUUUCUGGUCUGUGCAUCUGUCUGUUCGUUUGUUCGUUCGUCUGUCCUGUUUCAGGUUAAAGUUAUAGGUCGAGGUAGUUUUGGAUGAAGUUGAAGUCUAUCAACCUGAAUCUUAGUAUACAUUGUUCCUAAUGAUAUGAUCUUUCUAAUUUUAAUGCCAAAUUAGAGUUGUGACCCCAAUUUCACGGUCCACUGAACAUAGGAAAUGAAAGUGCGAGUGGGGCAUCCGUGUACUGGGGACACAUUCUUGUUUUAUUAAGUGCUUUAAAUAGACACCUUAGUUUGUAGACGCCAUCAUUAGUUUUCAUGAUAAGGUUCGUCUCACACAUACUAUAUUUAUAAGGUCAACAAUAUUUAGUAUAUUGAAUGACUUUCAGGUGUAAAUGUCUGUCUAACAGGGUUCAUCUGACAUUAGCCACAUUUUCAUGGUAUUGGUUAGCGUUAAAAAUUUAAGAUAAGGUUUGUAUUUCCGAUACUUUAAGUGAAAAGUUAGCUAGAAGAGUUGUCUAGAUUGAUUGGAAGUAUGCAAAUCAAUUGCAGGGUUUAUCUAACCUUGACCUUUUUUCAAAGACAUUUGAUAACGUUAAGGUUCUGUUUUUCUUUAUUUUAAAUUUAGACCUUGAUCUUAAAGACUUUCUACAUAAAAUUAAAUCAUAAUCAGUUAUGCAGGCAGUACACUAUUGUUAUAUCAAAUGCUAGGAGGUAUUAAACAUAUACGUUUUUGUAUGCUUCACUGUUAAGUUUGGUGGCUAUUUUGCUGAAUAAUAUACAUUAUUAUUAAAGGACCAGCUGAAGUAUACCUCCAGGUGCAGGAUUUUCUCCUGAUUUAAGGUGGUACCUAACACUACAGGGAGAUAACUCUGUAAAGUCAGCUAAACGUUUUGAUAACGUUGUGUUGUAAAUGGAAUACAUGUAUUAACUAAGCUUCUCAAUGAUCAAAAUUGGAGUUUGUCAAACUGCUAUAUAACCAGUGUAAUUUUUCUGACAAAACAGUUGGUUCCAAAUUUUUGAAAUUUUUAUAUUUUGGUUUACGGGUCAAAGUAAAUACUUUGUCAAAAUUUUAUAAAAAUUAAACAAGCCAAAUUAAUUUUAGUGAAAGUGUUGGGUUUGUGACCUUAGGCUGUUUUCUGCUUUUUGCUCUGGUUGUUGUCUCAUUGACACAUUCCCUGUUUCCACUCUCUGUUUGAUUUAAAGGCUGUAAGAUAGACUGGUCGUGUUUUGUAUCACAUAGGAUUUGCUUACCUUCAUGAUAAUUUACACAUAUCUCAUAUAUCAAACUCAUAACAUAUCAUCAUAUAAAUAAACUUUUGUCUGGCCUCAAAUAAAUGUAGUGAAGCCUUUAUAAUUAUCACUUUUUAGAAACAUCAUUGCCUGAGUUAAAUGUUGAGUUUUUUUAAUCAAUAUAAUAAGUGCUAAUAGUAGUCCAUCAGGACUAUGACAGUCAAUAUUGUUCAUGAGGGUAUUGACUAUUGUUUGACAGUUUUUUAAAAAAAAAAACAAGCAUGUCUUUGUUGAUGUUGAAUUUAAAGAAUAUUCCUUGAAGCUUAGCGUGUUUGAAAUUCCCUAUACUUAAAGCCAUUAUUACAUGUACAAAGAAAUUUCCAAUUCUUGAAGCUA
Molecule: long non-coding RNA, 3645 nt
Filed under: Mytilus galloprovincialis (Mediterranean mussel)
Lineage: Eukaryota; Metazoa; Mollusca; Bivalvia; Mytilida; Mytilidae
Source: RNAcentral